RNAcentral lists this long non-coding RNA (488 nucleotides) under Mus musculus (house mouse). RNAcentral's name for it is "predicted gene, 47448". Lineage: Eukaryota; Metazoa; Chordata; Mammalia; Rodentia; Muridae. The record is from RNAcentral.
CAAAUCAACAAGAGGGGAAGCAAGCAAGUCAGAGGACAGAAGAGCUGAGCCACCGUGCGGGAGCGACUGGACCGAAGGGUCUCAGCAAUCUCCUCACACAGGUUCUUUCAUGGACCAUGUUCUGACAUCUUGUCCACUCAACCCGCCCAGGCAAAGUUUGUCAGAGAACCGCUGUGUAAAUAUCAAGAAGCUAUAAACAGCAUGGCCUCGGGGUGAAACCUGCCUGAGGGUUAGAGUCCAGCUGCUGCGCUCACCAAGUAAGCAUUCUGAUGGAUGUGUCCGAUCUCCAUGCAUCUUUACCAUCGUUGCCAUCCAGUCUUAGGUGAAAGGAAAGGGGAACGAAAAAGCACAGAAAUCAUUACAGGAACACAUAUGGAGUUGGAAUUUUCUAAAGAGACUUACACUUCUAACUUGAUUAAAGUAAUAUUAUCCAGUUGGUAGAUGACUUAUAAUUCUUUCUAAAAUAAAGAGAAAACGUACUAUGUUAA